UACGUAGGGUGCUAGCGUUAUCCGGAUUUAUUGGGCGUAAAGGGUGCGUAGGCGGUCUUUUAAGUCGGUGGUUAAAGGCUACGGCUCAACCGUAUUAAGCCGUCGAAACUGGAAGACUUGAGUGCUGGAGAGGAAAGUGGAAUUCGCAGUGUAGCGGUGAAAUGCGUAGAUAUUGAGAAGAACACCAGUGGCGAAGGCGGCUUUCUGGACUGUAACUGACACUGAUGCACGAAAGCGUGGGUAGCAAACAGG
RNAcentral lists this ribosomal RNA (252 nucleotides) under uncultured bacterium. RNAcentral describes it as "partial 16S ribosomal RNA". It matches the Rfam family "Bacterial small subunit ribosomal RNA", at positions 524 to 776 of the family's 1533-position model. The record is from RNAcentral.